This 91-nucleotide transfer RNA is filed under the name Fidelibacterota bacterium. RNAcentral's name for it is "Candidatus Marinimicrobia bacterium tRNA-Ser". It matches the Rfam family "tRNA". Rfam says of the family: Transfer RNA (tRNA) molecules are approximately 80 nucleotides in length. Their secondary structure includes four short double-helical elements and three loops (D, anti-codon, and T loops). Lineage: Bacteria; Pseudomonadati; Fidelibacterota. The record is from RNAcentral.
GGAGAGGUGGCAGAGCCUGGCUGAAUGCGCCGCACUCGAAAUGCGGUAUACACCUAGUGUAUCGGGGGUUCAAAUCCCUCCCUCUCCGCAA